CUCUAGGCACCAGAUUUCCCUCAUCUAAGGAUACUUCUCAACACAGCUGUCUACUGCAAUCUUUAGAACAAUAUCAACAAAUACCAUAAGUUUGAAUUGAGAAAGGGCCAUGAUGCCUAAGCUUGUUGGGAAAGUGAUGAUGUUUUCAUCCAUAAGGGCCGGCCUAAUAUGGCAUUUCCAUGAAUAGAAAGGUAAGCAGCAUUUAACUUGUCAACAUCAGGAGCAGCCAAGGGAUCAUAAAGUUCCUCCCUUUGUUCUACAAUUGGAACAGUACCGCUCAUAUCCUGGACACCAUCAACUGGUUGAGGAUAUUGUGGAUAACCAGCAUAUGCACCAUAUGCAUAUAAUGAUGGAUCUUGUGUUGCCCCAUAACCAUAGACAUCAUAACCUUGUCCAUAACCAUAAUAGGCACUCCAUUGAUCUACUUGCUGACCCCAAAUUCCCGUUGCAUCCUGUUUCCUGCCCCAAGAAAUGCGCACCGGCUGUUGACCAAUCACAUGCCCCUGCAUCCUUUGUAUGGCUUCUUCAGCAGAUGUCCUAGUUCCAAAUUGUACAAAACCACAUCCUCUUCCUACAGGAAUUUUGACAUAGACGAUCUCCCCAAACUGCAAAAAUGUUUGUCUCAGUUCCUCUUCUGUGGCAUUAGGAUCCAGGUUACCAACAAAGAUGGUGGUAUUAGUGAUGUCACUAUCAGGUGUAACCACCUGGACUGGUGUAGUGUAUGCUGGAACUGGAUAUAUGGCUUUUGCUACAGUAUAUUGCUGUUGAUAACCAGUGGUCUUCUUUGGUGUUGCUGCACUAAUACGCAUCGGCCUGGUUGAGCAAUAAACACCAUUCAUUUCAGUCAUAGCACGAUUUCGUUCAUUCUCAUCACCAAAUUUAACAAAUCCAUAUCCCUUAGAACGUCCAGUACUUGGAUCAGUCACAACCUUGGCACCUCUAACUGAUGGAUAAUUAGCUCGAAAUGUCUCUUGCAAGAGAUAAUCUGUAACAUCAGGUGCUAAGUCCCCAACAAAAAUAGAAUGCUCAGGUCCAGCAUCAGGGCGUCUCUCCCCAAUGCCAAAAGAAGCCCAAUUCAGCCUGAAAGUUUGUUCAGUUCCAGGCAUUUGUGUCCCAUUAUAUGUCUGUAAAAUCCUUUCUGCCGCUGCAUGAGAAACAAACUCCACAAACCCAUAACCUUCAGGCUGGCCAGUGAUCUUGUUGCGUAUUAUUUUAAUUGAAACUACCUCGCCAGUGUGAGCGAAGCAGGAACUGAGGUAGUUGUCAUCAACCCAAUACUGUAAAUCACCAAUCCAAAGGGUUCUGACUUCUUCUAGAGUGGUGGGUUGAUGAUCCCCUCCAUGGAUCGUUGCCGUUGGCGCUGCCAUUAACCCCCAAGCUCUCCCGGUUGAAC
RNAcentral lists this unclassified non-coding RNA (1393 nucleotides) under Hevea brasiliensis (rubber tree). Lineage: Eukaryota; Viridiplantae; Streptophyta; Magnoliopsida; Malpighiales; Euphorbiaceae. The record is from RNAcentral.